This 802-nucleotide ribosomal RNA is filed under the name uncultured bacterium. Its description in RNAcentral is "bacterial SSU rRNA". It matches the Rfam family "Bacterial small subunit ribosomal RNA", at positions 117 to 922 of the family's 1533-position model. The record is from RNAcentral.
GUAUAGAACCUACCUUUUACUGGAGAAUAGCCCAGAGAAAUUUGGAUUAAUGCUCCAUAGUAUCAUUUUUUGGCAUCCUUAGAUGAUUAAAGAUUUAUCGGUAAAAGAUGGCUAUGCGUUCUAUUAGCUAGUUGGUAUGGUAACGGCAUACCAAGGCGACGAUAGAUAGGGGUCCUGAGAGGGAGAUCCCCCACACUGGUACUGAGACACGGACCAGACUCCUACGGGAGGCAGCAGUGAGGAAUAUUGGACAAUGGAGGCAACUCUGAUCCAGCCAUGCCGCGUGUAGGAAGACUGCCCUAUGGGUUGUAAACUACUUUUAUAGAGGAAGAAACCGCUCUACGUGUAGAGCUCUGACGGUACUCUACGAAUAAGGAUCGGCUAACUCCGUGCCAGCAGCCGCGGUAAUACGGAGGAUCCAAGCGUUAUCCGGAAUCAUUGGGUUUAAAGGGUCCGUAGCGGGUUUGUAAGUCAGUGGUGAAAGUUUUCGGCUCAACCGGAAAAUUGCCAUUGGUACUGCAAGUCUUGAAUCGUUGUGAAGUGGUUAGAAUGUGUAGUGUAGCGGUGAAAUGCAUAGAUAUUACACAGAAUACCGAUUGCGAAGCAGAUCACUAACAAUGUAUUGACGCUAAGGGACGAAAGCGUGGGUAGCGAACAGGAUUAGAUACCCUGGUAGUCCACGCCGUAAACGAUGGUUACUAGCUGUUCGGAUUUCGGUCUGAGUGGCUAAGCGAAAGUGAUAAGUAACCCACCUGGGGAGUACGUUCGCAAGAAUGAAACUCAAAGGAAUUGACGGGGGCCC